This is a long non-coding RNA of Rhinichthys klamathensis goyatoka, 484 nucleotides long. RefSeq lists it as uncharacterized. Lineage: Eukaryota; Metazoa; Chordata; Actinopteri; Cypriniformes; Leuciscidae. The record is from RefSeq and is a predicted model, not a curated record. The transcript is spliced from 3 exons.
GGAGAACAUGGAGGUGUGAAAACCCUGAGUCUGGAAGUGGGAAUGAAGCUCAGGAAGCUGCUCCUAUCAGAGAGAGAAAGAUAUCUUCAGACAACAGAUGACCACAAACUGUAGGGGAGAGUGGGCACGUUAAGCAGUGGCUCCUGGCAGGUGGCGUCCCGGAGCUCCUGAAAGAGCUGGUGUUGUGGGAGGAUGCGGGACAGGUCUCUGUGUAUCAGCGUCUCAGCGGGACAGGAGCUCUUCAGCAGAUCUGAGUAGUGCUGUGAAACGGCCACGUUCUGAGCGUCACACAGCAGCCGCCACACCACGGGCCGCAGGUUGUUGCUUCUAGGAAACAGGGCAUGCAGGGUGUGAAGAAGUGACCUGUUCUGUUCCUCAAGUUUAGCAAGUAACUUCAUCUCAUCUGCACUGAGCUGAGCCCCCGGUGAGGGACACGGAGAUGGUGCGCUCAAAGAGUCCAUCUGUAACACUCGGGGUGAAGCAG